GUGCACGCUGGCGGCAGGCCUAACACAUGCCAGUCGAGCGGCAGCGGGUCCUUCGGGAUGCCGGCGAGCGGCGGACGGGUGAGGAAUACAUCGGAAUCUGCCCUGUCGUGGGGGAUAACCUAGGGAAACUUAGGCUAAUACCGCAUACGACCUACGGGUGAAAGCGGGGGAUCGCAAGACCUCGCGCGACAGGAUGAGCCGAUGUCCGAUUAGCUAGUUGGCGGGGUAAAGGCCCACCAAGGCGACGAUCGGUAGCUGGUCUGAGAGGAUGAUCAGCCACACUGGGACUGAGACACGGCCCAGACUCCUACGGGAGGCAGCAGUGGGGAAUAUUGGACAAUGGGCGCAAGCCUGAUCCAGCCAUGCCGCGUGGGUGAAGAAGGCCUUCGGGUUGUAAAGCCCUUUUGUCCGGGAAGAAAUCGUCUGGGCUAAUACCCCGGGCGGAUGACGGUACCGGAAGAAUAAGCACCGGCUAACUUCGUG
This 483-nucleotide ribosomal RNA is filed under the name uncultured bacterium. Its description in RNAcentral is "partial 16S ribosomal RNA". It matches the Rfam family "Bacterial small subunit ribosomal RNA", at positions 30 to 507 of the family's 1533-position model. The record is from RNAcentral.